GUCUAUAGCCAUGCCACCCUGAACACUCCCGAUCUCAUCUGAUCUCGGAAGCUAAGCAGGGUCGGGCCUGGUUAGUACUUGGACGGGUGAUCACUUCAGAAUACCAGGUGCUGUAAGCA
Pteropus alecto (black flying fox) is the source of this 119-nucleotide non-coding RNA. The record is from Rfam. NCBI's taxonomy places the organism in Eukaryota, Metazoa, Chordata, Mammalia, Chiroptera, Pteropodidae.